Molecule: ribosomal RNA, 493 nt
Filed under: uncultured bacterium
Lineage: Bacteria
Description: partial 16S ribosomal RNA
Rfam family: Bacterial small subunit ribosomal RNA
Source: RNAcentral
GACGAACGCUAGCGGCGUGCUUAACACAUGCAAGUCGAACGGUGAAGCGCCUUCCUUUUUGGUGGGUGUGGAUGAGUGGCGAACGGGUGAGUAACACGUGAGUAACCUGCCCCCUUCUUCUGGAUAACCGCAUGAAAGUGUGGCUAAUACGGGAUAUUCUGGGUCUGUCGCAUGAUGGGUCUGGGAAAGAUAUUGUUUCGGUGGGGGAUGGGCUCGCGGCCUAUCAGCUUGUUGGUGGGUGAUGGCCUACCAAGGCGGUGACGGGUAGCCGGCCUGAGAGGGUGGACGGUCACACUGGGACUGAGACACGGCCCAGACUCCUACGGGAGGCAGCAGUGGGGAAUAUUGCACAAUGGGCGCAAGCCUGAUGCAGCGACGCCGCGUGAGGGAUGGAGGCCUUCGGGUUGUGAACCUCUUUCGCCAGUGAAGCAGGCCUGCCUCGUUUGUGGGUGGGUUGACGGUAGCUGGAUAAGAAGCGCCGGCUAACUACGUG